AUCAAAACCCUUGUAGCGGUGUUGUAUGCAAAAAUUAUGGUACUUGUGAACUGACGACGUCCAAUGGCCAGUGUGGAUACAAGUGUAAAUGUCCAGCGUGCUAUUACGGAACAUACUGUGAAAAUUAUCAAAACCCUUGUAGCGGUGUUGUAUGCAAAAAUUAUGGUACUUGUGAACUGACGACAUCCAAUGGCCAGUGUGGAUACAAGUGUAAAUGUCCAGCGUGCUAUUACGGAACAUACUGUGAAAAUU
Long non-coding RNA from Anneissia japonica, 252 nucleotides. RefSeq lists it as uncharacterized. The record is from RefSeq and is a predicted model, not a curated record. NCBI's taxonomy places the organism in Eukaryota, Metazoa, Echinodermata, Crinoidea, Comatulida, Comatulidae. The transcript has 2 exons.